Molecule: long non-coding RNA, 1677 nt
Filed under: Vitis vinifera (wine grape)
Lineage: Eukaryota; Viridiplantae; Streptophyta; Magnoliopsida; Vitales; Vitaceae
Description: long non-coding RNA (VVIN_LNC002628)
Source: RNAcentral
CUAAAGACUUAAAAAGGUUACGGUCCAUGGUAAGUGAUUGAUCUCGUCAUUAAAGGAGGGAGGAUAACAUCCACCAUUCUUUUUCUUAUUCUUUGUUAGACAAAAGCUAAGAUGCAAUUGGUAUUUAGCUUUUCUUCCUGCAGGCUGCUGCUGCUUCUUUUUCUUUGUUCUUAGGUAAAAUAGCAUAGACGUGGAGAGAUUGGGUCUGAUGCAGCAGACCAUUUAUCCAUUCAUUACACCUUGUCUGGAUAGGACACAGGAUAUAUCUUGUUGUCAAUGGAGGAAAGAAUGUCCCAGAUUCCAUGCCUAGGAGGCUAAUGGUCGGUGGAAUUCCCACCCCCACCCCCUACCAUUCCUGGUGGAUAUGAAUGUAGUCACUUCUUGAUUAUGGCAUGUUGAGUCUGUCAGAUUUCUAAUUGCACUUUAUGCGGCAGAAGGAAUUUUCUCACCAAUCUGUCUGGUCUGUCGAGAUAUAGAUUGAUCAUUUUCGAUGAAAGGGAGAACUUUUUAAUACAUGAAGUUAAAUCUCUCUGUACCAUUGCUCUAGCAUACUAAUAUGUAUACUUCAAAUACUAAAACUCAGUAUUUAUCUAGUUCAUUGCUUAUGGAGUAUGUUACGCAAAGGUGAAAUGUGUUGUUAAUUCCUUUUUAUCUUGAAACAAGACAUUUCCAUUCUCUCUUUACUUUAAAAAAUACAUCCAGAAGCAUUGGUGACGCAUGGUUCAGGGAAAUAAUAUUCUUGAAGCAGCAUUCGGAGAGAAGUGUCAGGGGAUGGUUGUCAUGAAGAUAAAGCUGGUGAAUGUCGGAUAACAAAAUGGGAGCGAAAGAGUGGUGAAUGUUUGGGGGUACUGAUUCCAGAGUGCCCUUCCUUUAGAGAGCAUGCAUGCAUAAGCACUUGAGCAGUAGCAGUGGCAGCUGUAGAAGCAGAAGAUUCACAAACAUAUACCUGAGGUCCCAUCAGAAAGCUACCCUUCCUUCUCUGUCCAUCAAACUUUGCCUUUUUUCUCUCUUGCACACUUCGCUACAGUUUUUAAGUGCAUCUUCACCACUUCAGAGGCUUCUUCAAUGUGUGGCUGCCUUUUGGUCUCAUCCCCUUUCUUUUUCUGCUUUUGUUUCUCCUUUCUGUUAGUGGUCAUGCCAUGUGCCUGCAUGCUUUCAUUUCUCUGGCUAAGACAGUGAAAUGCAGUAUUCUCCAAUCAUCUCACUCCUUUUUUAAGCUGAAUUCAAAAGCGCUUAUGAUAUAGUAGUACGAGUAUAUGCCUUUGUGGAAUUUCGAAAUAAUUUGGUUGAAGAACUAAUUUCACAAGUGAGAAAAUUUUUGCAUGUGAAAAAAGUGACAUUCAGAAUUCUUUUGGCCGUAAUGGAAAGAGAUAAACUCAACCUUGACUUACUUCGCUGGUGGUUAUAUGACUCAAUUCUGAUCACUGAAUCUUCCACUGAAUUUAUUGCUUUGGGGUUGAGCUGUGUCAACCCAUUUUGCAUAUGUCUUGGGGUGUUUGUAGUUUGUACCAAUACAAAUUGCAGUAGAAUCUUGGAACCAUGGACCCCCUGUCCCUCUUCAUCGAAGUGUGUGGCCUGGCCUUGUCCUUAAGCAUGGGCUAGUAGGAGACUCACAUGGAGGAUGGGCUUAAUCACAAAGGCACACAAGAUCUCUACAGACGGUGACGCAUUCACAAC